GGGUGAGAGGAGGGGCCCAUUCAGAUAGUUGGGCGGAGCUUAGAAUUUAUUUUUGGUUUACAGAUUGAAUAAAUCACAUGUUGCUGCGCAGCCACAAAGUCCGAGGAACUCUUCCAAGCAUGGAGACUCAUAAAAGUCAUUGGAAUGAAAAUGGCAUUAGAUACUUCUCUUGCAAAGCACAGGUCAAGACACGUGGAGUACUGCAUUACUUUGAUUUUCUGAUAAUGCAUUUCUUAUGGAUAUUUUUGCAAUUCUCAUGAAAUACUGGAAAAUACUAGAAGGUUCUAGGCCUGGUGCCUGCUUCGAGAGGAAGGAAUUGGGAAUGAUUUAGAUUAUCUCAUUGGAUGCAGUCAGCAGCAGGGUUCUGGGCUGCACUACUGCACAACCUUGGUUUAACUUGGAAACAUGUGCUGUCUACAUCAAAGGGCAGAGACUCUAAAGUGUAGGAAUUCAUAUUCAGCACCAUUCAUCAGAUCUGCCAGGAUGACUGUUGUGACGCUCACAAACCCUGCUUGGCACACAGUGAUGAAAGAGGGUUUCAGAGCCAAGAAGGAGUUUCAGAGUAAUAAGAGCAGCAGAGAGGAAACCCAGGCAUUGAUGGACAAAAACGAGGACUUUGCUCUAUUCGUUGGUGGUGAAUCUGGUGAGACGGUGAAGAGUGGGCAGGGCUCAGCCCUUGGAAAGCAGCUGUGUGGUCACAGAGAAAAGCAGCACUGCUUCAUCCUCCUUAUGGGUGCAUGA
This 741-nucleotide long non-coding RNA is filed under the name Rhinopithecus bieti (black snub-nosed monkey). RNAcentral's name for it is "lncRNA (ENSRBIG00000046226.1)". The record is from RNAcentral. Lineage: Eukaryota; Metazoa; Chordata; Mammalia; Primates; Cercopithecidae.